RNAcentral lists this ribosomal RNA (468 nucleotides) under uncultured bacterium. Its description in RNAcentral is "partial 16S ribosomal RNA". It matches the Rfam family "Bacterial small subunit ribosomal RNA", at positions 28 to 507 of the family's 1533-position model. The record is from RNAcentral.
GACGAACGCUGGCGGCGUGCUUAACACAUGCAAGUCGAACGGAAAGGCCCUGCUUUUGUUGGUUGCUCGAUUGGCGAACGGGUGAGUAACACGUGUGUAACCUGCCCUUGACUUUGUGAUAACUCCAGGAAACAGGGGCUAUUACCGGAUAGGAGCUCCUGCUGCAUGGUGGGGGUUGGAAAGUUUCGGCCGUGGUGGCUGGAUUGGCGGGUUAUGAGCUGGUUGGUGGGGUAGUGGCUGACCAAGGCUUUGACGGGUAGCCGGCCUGAGAGGGUGACCGGGCACAUUGGGCCUGAGAUAGGGCCCAGAAUGGUACGGGAGGCAGCAGUGGGGAAUCUGGCAGAGUGGCGGGACGCCUGAGGUAGAAACGCCGCGUGCGGGAUGCUGUGUUUUGGGUGGUAAACAGCUUUCGAAUGUGACGUAGCGUGAGUGACGGUAACGGGUAAAGAAGCAACGGCUAACUACGUG